CCUAACUUAGCGGCGGACGGGUGAGUAAUACUUAGGAAUCUGCCUAUUAGUGGGGGACAACAGUUGGAAACGACUGCUAAUACCGCAUACGCCCUACGGGGGAAAGCAGGGGAUCUUCGGACCUUGCGCUAAUAGAUGAGCCUAAGUCAGAUUAGCUAGUUGGUGGGGUAAAGGCCUACCAAGGCGACGAUCCGUAACUGGUCUGAGAGGAUGAUCAGUCACACUGGAACUGAGACACGGUCCAGACUCCUACGGGAGGCAGCAGUGGGGAAUAUUGGACAAUGGGCGAAAGCCUGAUCCAGCCAUGCCGCGUGUGUGAAGAAGGUCUUCGGAUUGUAAAGCACUUUAAGUUGGGAGGAAGGGCAGUUACCUAAUACGUGAUUGUUUUGACGUUACCGACAGAAUAAGCACCGGCUAACUCUGUGCCAGCAGCCGCGGUAAUACAGAGGGUGCAAGCGUUAAUCGGAAUUACUGGGCGUAAAGCGCGCGUAGGUGGUUUGUUAAGUUGGAUGUGAAAUCCCCGGGCUCAACCCGGGA
RNAcentral lists this ribosomal RNA (537 nucleotides) under uncultured Pseudomonas sp. Its description in RNAcentral is "bacterial SSU rRNA". It matches the Rfam family "Bacterial small subunit ribosomal RNA", at positions 86 to 619 of the family's 1533-position model. Lineage: Bacteria; Pseudomonadati; Pseudomonadota; Gammaproteobacteria; Pseudomonadales; Pseudomonadaceae. The record is from RNAcentral.